UAACCGAAGGCAACCCAACAGCGGUAUUCUGCGUCGGGUGAACAUGGCGACCUGAACACGAAUUUUCGAAAUAGACCAUGGACGGUCGAAAAUUGCUGAAAUUUUCUAUAGACGUCGUGCCACACGACUUGAUGGCUAAGAGUGCCGGAGAUGUGGUCCCCGAUAUUCGUGGAAAAUCUCUCUCGCUGGAAUUUUUUGUACGGAGACAGUUGUCUUACGAGUUUGACAGCUUCCCCCUGCCAGGUACCAAGAUGGACAGACGCAGAGGCUGCAGAUCAGCGGGCAUAACAGUGUCUGCGCCCUUCCACCACUUGCAGGCGUCGGACUGCAACCAACUCCACAGUAAGCACCAGUAUACGUAUUUCUGGUUCAUCAGCUCCACCAGAUUUGGAAUCGGGCGUCGGACUUUCAGUAAAAACUGACGAUGUGUCGAAAUGUUUCACAGGACCUCGGACUUGUACGAAAUUUGCGCAGAAAUACGAAGAUCAAGAACAGUUGAACAUCUGAAGAUAGUGUAAACUAUAACGUUUGCUGAAUGAUUCAUUCAUUCAUUCAUUCAAUGGAAAUUAAGAAUUAGCAACUGCCAGCAAGAUGGCGCUGUGCGUGUUCUCGUUGGAGAGGAAGCGAAGACAGACCAGUAGGCCGUGAAACAAGACAGCAAACGCCAGUGCACUUAAGUGAGUGAGAAGGAAGUGUAUACAUUUAAAAAAAAUAAAACAAAAGAACAAAUAAUAAAAAUAAUAAAGACAGCCGCAUGAAGAGGUGUGGUGUGAUAUGAUUGGUGGGCCGGGAUGCAAACAUUUAACCAAUCGGUGACUCCGUAUUUCGGUAAUGGGGAGGAGUCACCAAGCGAGGUCUUAUUAAGUGUCCUUUAUUGAGAACUGCAUUGUAGUUUGUACUCAGUACCAGCCGGGUAACGCCCAAACCAUAAUAUUUUAGCUUCAGGGGCGCCUUCCGUCCUUUAACCUUGACGUGCGUUGAGGUUUCUCCACAUUACGUAAACACGCACGCCUAAACUUUGUUCAGCCGAAUUCUGAUUCUGCCACAUCCCACCUUGCUUGCAGAAUAGUCGAUUUCACUUUGCAAAUUCAUGUCAUUUCCACAUUUCAGUUACAUAAUGAGUCCUCACAGCCAGUCCGUUAUGUUGGUGUGCAUGCUGGCAAAUACAAGGUAUAAAUAUAGAACGUUGUCCAAUACCACGACCUUCAUACCAUGUUAAUAAAAAGUUAAUUUGUAAGGAAGGUGUUGAAGCUUUCACGGUAAGAAUGUGAAGAAAUUAUUUCAUUAUCGAAUCUUGCUUACGUAGAAGACGAUAUUUAAUUGCAUUUACAACAAAUUUUACACCACAUAUUAAAAUCGGCAUCUUCCUACAACAAUAAAGGUCU
Non-coding RNA from Zootermopsis nevadensis, 1385 nucleotides. NCBI's taxonomy places the organism in Eukaryota, Metazoa, Arthropoda, Insecta, Blattodea, Termopsidae. The record is from RefSeq and is a predicted model, not a curated record.